Molecule: ribosomal RNA, 558 nt
Filed under: Thoropa miliaris (rock river frog)
Lineage: Eukaryota; Metazoa; Chordata; Amphibia; Anura; Cycloramphidae
Description: partial 16S ribosomal RNA
Rfam family: Bacterial large subunit ribosomal RNA
Source: RNAcentral
CGCCUCUUGAGAAAUAUAAGAGGUCCAGCCUGCCCAGUGACUCUGUUCAACGGCCGCGGUAUCCUAACCGUGCGAAGGUAGCGUAAUCACUUGUUCUUUAAAUGAGGACUAGUAUGAAAGGCAUCACGAGGGUUAUACUGUCUCCUUUUUCUAAUUAGUGAAACUAAUCUCCCCGUGAAGAAGCGGGGAUUAUCUUAUAAGACGAGAAGACCCUAUGGAGCUUUAAAUUAGAUAACAAUUGCCACCUUAUUCUUAUUAACCUUAUAACGUCUAGCAAUAUGAUUAUUAAUUUUUGGUUGGGGUGACCGCGGAGCAUAACAUAACCUCCACAUUGAAAGGAUUUAUUCCUAAGCUAAAAGCAACAACUUUAAGCAUCAAUAAAUUGACAUUAAUUGACCCAAUAUACUUGAUCAACGAACCAAGUUACCCUAGGGAUAACAGCGCAAUCUACUUUAAGAGCCCAUAUCGACAAGUAGGUUUACGACCUCGAUGUUGGAUCAGGGUAUCCUAGUGGUGCAGCCGCUACUAACGGUUCGUUUGUUCAACGAUUAAAACCCU